ACGAACGCUGGCGGCGUGCUUAACACAUGCAAGUCGAACGGAAAGGCCCUGCUUUUGUGGGGUGCUCGAGUGGCGAACGGGUGAGUAACACGUGAGUAACCUGCCCUUGACUUUGGGAUAACUUCAGGAAACUGGGGCUAAUACCGGAUAGGAGCUCCUGCUGCAUGGUGGGGGUUGGAAAGUUUCGGCGGUUGGGGAUGGACUCGCGGCUUAUCAGCUUGUUGGUGGUGUAGUGGCUUACCAAGGCUUUGACGGGUAGCCGGCCUGAGAGGGUGACCGGCCACAUUGGGACUGAGAUACGGCCCAGACUCCUACGGGAGGCAGCAGUGGGGAAUAUUGCACAAUGGGCGGAAGCCUGAUGCAGCAACGCCGCGUGCGGGAUGACGGCCUUCGGGUUGUAAACCGCUUUCGCCUGUGACGAAGCGUGAGUGACGGUAAUGGGUAAAGAAGCACCGGCUAACUACGUG
RNAcentral lists this ribosomal RNA (467 nucleotides) under uncultured bacterium. RNAcentral describes it as "partial 16S ribosomal RNA". It matches the Rfam family "Bacterial small subunit ribosomal RNA", at positions 29 to 507 of the family's 1533-position model. The record is from RNAcentral.